Molecule: ribosomal RNA, 295 nt
Filed under: uncultured bacterium
Lineage: Bacteria
Description: partial 16S ribosomal RNA
Rfam family: Bacterial small subunit ribosomal RNA
Source: RNAcentral
UACGUAGGGUGCAAGCGUUAAUCGGAAUUACUGGGCGUAAAGCGUGCGCAGGCGGUUUUGUAAGUUCUGUCGUGAAAUCCCCCGGGCUCAACCUGGGAAUUGCGAUGGAGACUGCAAGGCUAGAAUCUGGCAGAGGGGGGUAGAAUUCCACGUGUGAGCAGUGAAAUGCGUAGAGAUAGUGGGAGGAACACCGAUGGCGAAGGCAGCCCCCUGGGUCGAAGAUUGACGCUCCAUGCACGAAGGACGUGGGAGCAACGGAAGUACAGAACCGGAGUAAGAAUCCGAUGAGACCCAG